GAUUUACUUGACUAAAACUAGACUAAAAUAACAAUUCAGAUGACUAAAAUACGACUAAAACUAAAAUGGCUUUUUAGUCGAAAGACUAUGACUAAAUUGAAAUUUGCUGCUAAAAUUAUCACUGCACAGAGGGGCUGGGGAAGGGGCAAAAGAUACAGGUAGAGGCUUUAACUAAACCCAUUAAAUUUUAGUUGUGUUGACUAAAAUCCACUGGAAAUUUAGUCGACUAAAACUAAAACCAUUCGGAAGACUAAAAUACAAUUAAAGCUAAAAUGGCUUUUUAGUCGAAAGACAAUGACUAAAUCUAAAUUGAAAUUUGCAGCCAAAAUGAACACUACCACUAAUCUAUGGGGUUCUUAUAUAUGUUAUCACUCCUAUUCUACUCAGGGGCGUAUUAGCCGCGAGGCAAACAAGGCAUUUGCAUUGGGCGGCAUUUUUCAGGGGGCGGCAAAAAACGCCGCCCCCCAAAUGCCCAAGGCAAAUGUCUUGUUAGCCUCGCGGCUAACAGACAUUCU
This is a non-coding RNA of Pelobates cultripes (western spadefoot toad), 515 nucleotides long. Lineage: Eukaryota; Metazoa; Chordata; Amphibia; Anura; Pelobatidae. The record is from the annotation of a GenBank genome assembly.